GGCAUGGCGGCAGCUACACAUGCAAGUCGAACGGUAGCACAGAGAGCUUGCUCUCGGGUGACGAGUGGCGGACGGGUGAGUAAUGUCUGGGAAACUGCCUGAUGGAGGGGGAUAACUACUGGAAACGGUAGCUAAUACCGCAUAACGUCGCAAGACCAAAGAGGGGGACCUUCGGGCCUCUUGCCAUCAGAUGUGCCCAGAUGGGAUUAGCUUGUAGGCGGGGUAAUGGCCCACCUAGGCGACGAUCCCUAGCUGGUCUGAGAGGAUGACCAGCCACACUGGAACUGAGACACGGUCCAGACUCCUACGGGAGGCAGCAGUGGGGAAUAUUGCUCUAUGGGCGCAAGCCUGAUGC
This 355-nucleotide ribosomal RNA is filed under the name Klebsiella sp. gx-145. RNAcentral's name for it is "bacterial SSU rRNA". It matches the Rfam family "Bacterial small subunit ribosomal RNA", at positions 37 to 389 of the family's 1533-position model. Lineage: Bacteria; Pseudomonadati; Pseudomonadota; Gammaproteobacteria; Enterobacterales; Enterobacteriaceae. The record is from RNAcentral.